Molecule: long non-coding RNA, 4153 nt
Organism: Engraulis encrasicolus (European anchovy)
Lineage: Eukaryota; Metazoa; Chordata; Actinopteri; Clupeiformes; Engraulidae
Exons: 2
Source: RefSeq, a predicted model, not a curated record
UAAAACUAUUUAUUUCCUCUCUUGCAAGGUCAUCCUCCUCAAGUCUUUAUCAUGAGACAUCACAGCCAUAGAAACACAAACGAGAAAAACUGCUUUUCAUUCAUUUACUGAUUCGAUUGAGACAAAAACACAAUAAUUAUAGCUAUUUUAUGACAAAACAAAGCAAAUCUUGAUUGGCAAAUAAACCAAACAGCCACAUGUAUGAUAAACAGUUAUGAUAAACAAAAACAAAAUGGCAUUCUAGACAUGGAUCACUUGAAAUGGAUUUUCAAUGACACACAAAUAUGUGUAAGCACACACACACACACACACACACACACACACACACACACACACACACACGCACACACGCACGCACGCACGCACGCACGCACGCACGCACGCACGCACGCACGCACGCACGCACGCACGCACGCACGCACACCUGAUGAUAGAAAUGCUUUUUGAUUUGAAUAUGGCGACAUGAUGAGCUUAUAUAAUAUGGACGGAGCAGUCUUCAGAGCAGCCUUAAGACUACUCUGACAAGUCUUAAACAAAUAAAAAUACACACAUUCACCCACUCACUUCACUCUUCAUCCAUCCAUCCAUCCAUCCAUCCAUCCAUCCAUAUCUCCAUCUGAACACACAUGAUUUGGAGGUGCAUGGUAAAAUAUCUAAUCAUUAUUUUGUCACACAAGUAAUCAUUUGAAAGUAAACACUAUUCGUGGCAUAACCUGUCUAUUUAAAUACAAUAUUGUUUUUAAAUUCCCUUUUCUACAAUUUCUCCCCACCAUGACAUGAUUGACUGAUAGACUGAUUGAUUGAUUGGUUGGUUCAUUGAUUGGUUGACAGGACGGAAAGGAAAGUGAGUUGUCUUGACUGUUUUGUCUACAGUUUGGAUUGCAACUGCUAUUGGGAUGGUAGUUGAAAUAAACCAUUACAACAGAACACUGCAGACCUUGAUUGAUAAACCAGCAUCUGCUACAGGCCAAUGGUGCACGGCCAGGUGUAGGCCUAUACUGCUAGCUGGUGCAUGUGCUAGCUGAUAGACAAGUGGGGUCUUCCAAAAGCAGGAGAAGAAGUCACUUACAUAUGACUGAAACCUCACCCCAAGUCAUAAAUCUACUAAUAGAACAAACCCACAAGAUCCAUCUACUAGGAAAGUUACCACUUAUAUUUGAAUUUAACUUCACCUGGUCAGUCACACCAAAGCAUCUACUUUUAAAUAACCUCUCGACCGGGUUGGGAGGGUCUUGCACACUUCCUGACCAUUAAGCGUCUGAUGAUUCGGGGCACACUAAUUUCCCCACAUUUCUGAUCCACAUUAAUGUGAACCACAAUGCCAUGAUGACUAACAGUCUGGGCUGAGGUGAGGGCUUGAGGAAAAAGCUGGAUUUGGACACAGGCCUAUAGAUGGCGCCAUCUUCCCCAACACUGUGGUCCUCUCAUCUCACAAGGACAAGGCAGGGAAGGUGUUCACUCUUUCCAGUCAUUCACUAACAUAGAAAUGUGGGUCUUUUUUGCAGGUUGAGGGUCCCAUCAUGAGAUUUGGACAUCUGCCAGCAUAAAGCAGGUACGUACAUUCAAAGAUGUGGGGACAUUUGCAAUCACAAUGGGUGCACAAAUCCAGUUCAGUCACCAACAUGCGUCAGUCUAGUCUGAUCUAUCAUCAUCAUCAUCGUCCUUUGAGUCAAAUUGUUUGUUUCUUUGUGUAGUUGUCGUUUUUUUAACAAGGUGAAAGUUAAGGCCUUGCCUAGCUUUGUCAAAAGUAGGAGGGAAAAAAAUAAGUACAAAAAGAACUGAACUAAAAGAAAUAAUACAAACAAAAAACACAACAAAACAAAACUAAUCAUUUCCGUUUGGCUCUGUAACCCCAAGAUGAGGCUAAAAGACGGUUUAAAUUAGGAUUCAAGGACACCUACAACAUCAACAAGAACAUCAACAAACAACAGAUGAAGAGCAAGUCAAAUAUAAACUGAACUGAACUGAACUGAACUGAACUGAAACAAAGCACAAAUCAAAUACAAACUGAACUGACCGUUCUCAUCGUGCCCUGCAAAGGGCUCUUUGCAUACGGUGGGACAUGUGGAUAUUGGCUAGGCUAAGAGAGCGGGACAUGGCUAGCCUAGGAGAUGGGAGAGGGGACAUGGCUAGGAUAGGAGAUGGGAGAGUAGGACAUGGCUAGGAUAGGAGAUGGGAGAGGGGGACAUGGCUAGGAUAGGAGAUGGGAGAGGGGGACAUGGCUAGGCUAGAAGGUGGGAGAGGGAGAGCAGGACAUGGCUAGGCUAGAAGAUGGGAGAGGGGACAUGGCUGGCUAGGCUAGGAGAUGGGAGAGGGGACAUGGCUGGCUAGGCUAGGAGAUGGGAGAGGGGGCAUGGCGAGACUGGCUAGGCUAGGAGAUGGGAGAGGGGACAUGGCUGGCUAGGCUAGGAGAUGGGAGAGGGGGCAUGUCCCUGGUGAAGGGGAGUAGAUGGUAGGUGGGAGGGGACAUAGCUAGCUAGGCUCGGCUCUGCUUGGCUGGUGUUCUGGCCUAAAAAAGGGCCACACAUUCUUCCCUAGCAGGCGCUGUUGUGCUGUGGCUGUGCCUUAGUGUAAUGUAAACAGUCCAAAGACCAAAGUCUCCCAAAGUGGGGAGAGAGCGAGAACAGAGAGAGAGAGAGAUUUUGGCCUGAUUUGCCAGUCGCACGACUCUUUGAGAAUUUUUUGCUCAAUCGGAGUUCAAUCAUGACUCUCGCAUCGUGUAGCGUACAUGGGGUAACAACAAGCGAUAUUACCUCACGACCAGCUUGCGAUCAGCAAUCGUAUGGUCAAACUGUUUCAAACUGUUUGAAAUCCUGGUCGCCCCUCGUGAAUCGCACAGUUGAAGCAGUCCUACAACCCGAUUUGAAACUACGUUUCACACUGCACAAAUUGCCAGGGUGAGCCGGUUCGCUAUUCGUCGCUUCCGGAAAAAAAGCCUGUCAUGACGUACAUUGUGAGCAUUCUGCUUGCACCCUUGGCUCGUAUAGAGUGAUGAUGCGAGUCGUGAGAUGGGAACUUUUAAACCCUGCCAUUCCCACGAACAGUGUGAGCAGGAGCUGAAUACAUGCGACUGAAAAUAUCGCAGUGUAUGGCCAGCUUUACACAGACUGGCAGCUUACACUAGUUUAUCAAUCUUUCUCAGUGAGGACAGAGGCAACCAAAGGGCUCUCUCUCUUUCUUGCUUUCUCAAUCCUUACUCUCCUUCUCUCUCUCUCACUGGGGCAUCCUGGCUAACGGGUGCAAAAAACAACACAGCGAUAACAACAUUCUAUCUAAUCUCCCAUUCAUGUUCAGAUCAUCUCUGCAUGUGUCUGUGUGUGUGUGUGUGUGUGUGUGCGUGUGCGUGUGUGUGUAAGGGGUUAACAGGGUCUGUAAUUACACUAGUUUGGCAAGAGACCUGGCACCAUUAUGUUCACUGCUACUUGGUAAUUGAAAAUGAUCCGAUGACGUUUAUGAGACUGACAUAUGCACGAAAAUACAGCUUAUCGCACCACACACACACGCACACACAAACACACGCGCACACACCCACACACUUAUUACAAUAUUACAAUCAUAUUUAUAAAGGCACUGAUUGAACACUAUACAUAUUUUAAGAUUAUCCAGCAUUCCGUGCUCAAUACGAAAAGGUAGAAAUCUAAAAAUGUUUCUUUUUUUUAAACAUUAUUUGAAAAAUAGACCUGUGACAUAUAUAGAGAAAAGGAAAAAAAAAAGAAUCGUUUUGCACCCUUGCCGCACAUGUACAACAGAGAAAUGCCUACGGAUGUAUAAAAGCGAACACAAUCUGAUUCUAUAGGAGUUUCCGACUGUUUGACAGCUUCCUAAACUCCGCUCUUCACAACCUAAAUAACUCUACGCAGAGGUUUUUUUUCUGUCUUUGCUGAAAUGCGUAUAACCAUGAUUCAGAACCAGAUUGUUUUUCGUUAUACUCAUUAACCAGACAUGUCUUGAUCUGCAAAAGAAAAGAAAAAGGAAAAGAAAAAUAUCUGAAAUGCUAAGGCUACACUCUAAAGCAUAGCAUGUCGAAGCUACACUCCAAAGUAUGUAGCAUGUUGAGGAUGUUCAGGACUCCAGUCAUCGUGAUUACAGCUUAGCCUACGUACGUACAUACUGUAUGUAAGUCCAGGAAAACUACAGUAUCUCCCAAGGAAAA